AUUGAACGCUGGCGGCAUGCCUUACACAUGCAAGUCGAACGGCAGCACGGGAGCAAUCCUGGUGGCGAGUGGCGAACGGGUGAGUAAAGUAUCGGAACGUGCCCAGUCGUGGGGGAUAGCGUAGCGAAAGUUACGCUAAUACCGCAUACGAUCUAUGGAUGAAAGCGGGGGAUCGCAAGACCUCGCGCGAUUGGAGCGGCCGAUAUCAGAUUAGGUAGUUGGUGGGGUAAAGGCUCACCAAGCCGACGAUCUGUAGCUGGUCUGAGAGGACGACCAGCCACACUGGGACUGAGACACGGCCCAGACUCCUACGGGAGGCAGCAGUGGGGAAUUUUGGACAAUGGGCGCAAGCCUGAUCCAGCUAUGCCGCGUGCAGGAUGAAGGCCUUCGGGUUGUAAACUGCUUUUGUACGGAACGAAAAGGUUUGACUUAAUACGUUGGACUCAUGACGGUACCGUAAGAAUAAGCACCGGCUAACUACGUGCCAGCAGCCGCCGUAA
Molecule: ribosomal RNA, 500 nt
Filed under: uncultured bacterium
Lineage: Bacteria
Description: partial 16S ribosomal RNA
Rfam family: Bacterial small subunit ribosomal RNA
Source: RNAcentral